ACGCUAGCGGCAGGCUUAAUACAUGCAAGUCGAGGGGCAGCGCAGUGUAGCAAUACAUGGGCGGCGACCGGCAAACGGGUGCGGAACACGUACAGAACCUUCCUUCGAGCGGGGAAUAGCCCAGAGAAAUUUGGAUUAAUACCCCAUAGUAUAUUGAAGAGGCAUCUCUUUAAUAUUAAAGAUUUAUCACUUGAAGAUGGCUGUGCGGCUGAUUAGGUAGUUGGCGGGGUAACGGCCCACCAAGCCUGCGAUCAGUAACUGGUGUGAGAGCACGACCAGUCACACGGGCACUGAGACACGGGCCCGACUCCUACGGGAGGCAGCAGUAAGGAAUAUUGGUCAAUGGACGCAAGUCUGAACCAGCCAUGCCGCGUGGAGGAUGAAGGUCCUCUGGAUUGUAAACUUCUUUUAUAUGGGACGAAAAAAGGGUUCUCUAACUCGUCUGACGGUACCAUAUGAAUAAGCACCGGCUAACUCCGUGCCAGCAGCCGCGGUAAUACGGAGGGUGCAAGCGUUAUCCGGAUUCACUGGGUUUAAAGGGUGCGUAGGUGGGUUGGUAAGUCAGUGUGAAAUCUCCGAGCUUAACUUG
Molecule: ribosomal RNA, 589 nt
Filed under: uncultured bacterium
Lineage: Bacteria
Description: bacterial SSU rRNA
Rfam family: Bacterial small subunit ribosomal RNA
Source: RNAcentral